This 329-nucleotide ribosomal RNA is filed under the name uncultured eukaryote. RNAcentral's name for it is "partial 18S ribosomal RNA". It matches the Rfam family "Eukaryotic small subunit ribosomal RNA", at positions 1470 to 1796 of the family's 1831-position model. The record is from RNAcentral.
CCCUUAGAUGUUCUGGGCCGCACGCGCGCUACACUGAUGCAUUCAACGAGUCUAAAACCUGCUCUGAUAGGGGUGGGUAAUCUUUUGAAUGUGCAUCGUGAUUGGGAUAGAUGAUUGCAAUUUUUCAUCUUCAGCGAGGAAUGCCUAGUAAACGCAAGUCAUCAGCUUGCAUUGAUUACGUCCCUGCCCUUUGUACACACCGCCCGUCGCUCCUACCGAUUGAAUGAUCCGAUGAAUAUCAUGGAUUGAGGAUGCAAGCAGGUUCGCCUGUCUUCAUCUUCGAGAAGUGAAGUAAAUCUUAUCAUUUAGAGGGAGGAGAAGUCGUAACA